AGCAGCACGACUUCCUGGUUCGAUAGGAACCCCAGCCGCUUGACAGAGUUUCACGAUGGAUUCUCCAGGGCCAUUAUUUACGUUAUGUAUAGCUAAACAACAUUAGCACUGUGUUGCAUACUUGAAGUGGAAGGAGCUGGUAUAUUAGAACCAAGAAAUAAUUUCUGUAGACCAGUUGUGCUGAUAGCUAUGUGAUUAAGUGCGACUUGUAUGGAUAGAUUAAUAGCUGCUGUUCGACGACCACGUUUCUUUGCGAUCACCUCAUUGUAAAGGUUGAACAUUUUUGAAUGGAGGACUGGAAGACAUUUGGGUGUUGAGUCAAAUUUAAUGGAAAAAUUCAGUGCGAACCUGCAAUGUUUAUAAAUGGAGGGCAGUAAAACUUGAAAAUAUGCCGCACAGCUAUAUGUUUUUAUUAGUGCAAAAAAAAGUAGUGCAUGUCUCCUUUCCAGGGAAAUAUAACAUUCUCUUCAAAACUUCCUGAAUGAAGAG
This is a long non-coding RNA of Mytilus trossulus (common blue mussel), 489 nucleotides long. RefSeq lists it as uncharacterized. The record is from RefSeq and is a predicted model, not a curated record. The transcript has 3 exons. NCBI's taxonomy places the organism in Eukaryota, Metazoa, Mollusca, Bivalvia, Mytilida, Mytilidae.